Molecule: long non-coding RNA, 445 nt
Organism: Lycium barbarum (goji berry)
Lineage: Eukaryota; Viridiplantae; Streptophyta; Magnoliopsida; Solanales; Solanaceae
Exons: 3
Source: RefSeq, a predicted model, not a curated record
UUUGUUGGAACAUAUGGAAGCAAAAGGAAGUUAAUUAUACUAUCGAGACAUUGUCAAAUGAGCCCAAGAAAAUCAUCAGUGAAUUUUGAGUAUGCACGAGGGACAUCACAUAGAAAGCUUGUCCUACCACUUCAUGAUUAGCUUCAGGUAACGGAGAAGAGCAGGUUCGUGAUACUCUCGACGCUUAGGAGAACUUGCUGCUGCUGUUGAUUUGGUGAGCCCACAUCCUUGUUCGUGGGACACUUCUUGUUUCAUUUAUUAUUCUAGAUUUUCGGGCUGCGUCCCGAAGUUAGAUGAUUGUUUUAUCUCUUAGAGGCUCCAUAGAUAGUUGUCAGAAUUGUGGGUAGAUUGUCAAAGUCUCGUACGACUUAAUGGGUGUUUGCCACGUUUAUGACUAUAUACUUAUAUUAGACUUCCGCUGAUCUUAUUUCAUAAUUGUGAUCCU